GACGAACGCUGGCGGCGUGCCUAAUACAUGCAAGUAGAACGCUGAAGGAGGAGCUUGCUUCUCUGGAUGAGUUGCGAACGGGUGAGUAACGCGUAGGUAACCUGCCUGGUAGCGGGGGAUAACUAUUGGAAACGAUAGCUAAUACCGCAUAACAGUAGAUAUCGCAUGAUAUCUACUUGAAAGGUGCAAUUGCAUCACUACCAGAUGGACCUGCGUUGUAUUAGCUAGUUGGUGAGGUAACGGCUCACCAAGGCGACGAUACAUAGCCGACCUGAGAGGGUGAUCGGCCACACUGGGACUGAGACACGGCCCAGACUCCUACGGGAGGCAGCAGUAGGGAAUCUUCGGCAAUGGACGGAAGUCUGACCGAGCAACGCCGCGUGAGUGAAGAAGGUUUUCGGAUCGUAAAGCUCUGUUGUAAGAGAAGAACGAGUGUGAGAGUGGAAAGUUCACACUGUGACGGUAGCUUACCAGAAAGAGACGGCUAACUACGUG
This 495-nucleotide ribosomal RNA is filed under the name uncultured bacterium. Its description in RNAcentral is "partial 16S ribosomal RNA". It matches the Rfam family "Bacterial small subunit ribosomal RNA", at positions 28 to 507 of the family's 1533-position model. The record is from RNAcentral.